This 497-nucleotide ribosomal RNA is filed under the name uncultured bacterium. RNAcentral's name for it is "partial 16S ribosomal RNA". It matches the Rfam family "Bacterial small subunit ribosomal RNA", at positions 28 to 507 of the family's 1533-position model. The record is from RNAcentral.
GAUGAACGCUGGCGGCGUGCCUAAUACAUGCAAGUCGAGCGAACGGACGAGAAGCUUGCUUCUCUGAUGUUAGCGGCGGACGGGUGAGUAACACGUGGAUAGCCUACUUAUAAGACUGGGAUAAUUUCGGGAAACCGGAGCUAAUACCGGAUAAUAUUUUGAACCGCAUGGUUCAAAAGUAAAAGACGGUCUUGCUGUCACUUAUAGAUGGAUCCGCGCUGCAUUAGCUAGUUGGUAAGGUAACGGCUUACCAAGGCAACGAUGCAUAGCCGACCUGAGAGGGUGAUCAGCCACACUGGAACUGAGACACGGUCCAGACUCCUACGGGAGGCAGCAGUAGGGAAUCUUCCGCAAUGGGCGAAAGCCUGACGGAGCAACGCCGCGUGAGUGAUGAAGGUCUUCGGAUCGUAAAGCUCUGUUAUUAGGGAAGAACAUAUGUGUAAGUAACUGUGCACAUCUUGACGGUACCUAAUCAGAAAGCCACGGCUAACUACGUG